AUUUAAACUUUUUAUUAAAAACAAUGAUGGAAUCAGGCCGUAAACCCUUUCAGAAUUAUGUUGUUCCGAUGUCGGAUUUGUUUUCCAAAAGACAUACAUUCUCGAAGAACGGUCCUACAUUAUUUCAAAACUGAUAUCAAGUGCGAAACCUUAAAAUGGAAAAUACAACACAGCAAGAUAUUUAAAAGAUUUAUAGAGUUUGUGAUUUACAUUUUUGUAAUCAAGAUCGUACCUGGAAUAAAAAGAGGUUUAGAAGUUAAUUCUAAAGUUUUUAUAUACACCAGUUCAUAUGGAUUUUUUAAAUUGUAUCUAUCAUUUUAGAGAAAGGAUCAGAUAACCCAAAUCAGGAAUCUUCCAAAGUGCAGAUGAUGCAGUUUUUGUGAGUGAGGUAUAAUAUCUGUCUCUUGUAAGACCUCUUUUAUGAAUUUAACCCAGGCAGUUGUUUACAACCAAAUUAGAUCUCAAGCAUAGCAAAGGAAUGGUACAACCUGUGAAUUCAGUUUAAUUACUGAGAUCACGGAUGAUGAAACAUUCAUUAUGAUUAUACAGAGCUACAAAGAGUUAUGUUGAGAAUCCAAAUUAGCAUAAUGAAUUGAGAC
Sitophilus oryzae (rice weevil) is the source of this 599-nucleotide long non-coding RNA. RefSeq lists it as uncharacterized. The record is from RefSeq and is a predicted model, not a curated record. The transcript is spliced from 3 exons. Lineage: Eukaryota; Metazoa; Arthropoda; Insecta; Coleoptera; Curculionidae.